RNAcentral lists this ribosomal RNA (450 nucleotides) under uncultured bacterium. Its description in RNAcentral is "partial 16S ribosomal RNA". It matches the Rfam family "Bacterial small subunit ribosomal RNA", at positions 338 to 795 of the family's 1533-position model. The record is from RNAcentral.
CCUACGGGUGGCAGCAGUAAGGAAUAUUGGUCAAUGGACGAAAGUCUGAACCAGCCAUGCCGCGUGGAGGAUGAAGGUCCUCUGGAUUGUAAACUUCUUUUAUAUGGGACGAAAAAAGGCUUUUCUAGGUCGUCUGACGGUACCAUAUGAAUAAGCACCGGCUAACUCCGUGCCAGCAGCCGCGGUAAUACGGAGGGUGCCGGCGUUAUCCGGGUUCACUGGGUUGAAGGGGGGUGUAGGAGGCAGUGUUGAAAUCCCCGAGCUUAACUUGGGAACUGCCAUUGAUACUAUCAGUCUUGAGUACCGUGGAGGUCAGCGGAAUAUGUCAUGUAGCGGUGAAAUGCUUAGAUAUGACAUAGAACACCAAUUGCGAAGGCAGCUGGCUACCCGAAUAUUGACACUGAGGCACGAAAGCGUGGGGAUCAAACAGGAUUAGAUACCCUUGUAGUC